Molecule: non-coding RNA, 859 nt
Organism: Saimiri boliviensis boliviensis (Bolivian squirrel monkey)
Lineage: Eukaryota; Metazoa; Chordata; Mammalia; Primates; Cebidae
Source: RefSeq, a predicted model, not a curated record
GCUGGUCUCCUGGGCCCAAGUGAUCCACUGGCUUCAGCCUCCCAAAGGGCGUGAGCUGCCGUGUCUGGCUCAGUCUGUGGAGUUCUGUAUGGCAGCAGAAAAUGGACUAAAAUGCAGUGCAGAGAUGUGCCCACGCAGAGCCCUUCAGCUCAGUGCCACCAAAUGAACCCGUCAUGACUUUCCCCAGCCUGGAACCACAGGAGACCCACAGGAAAGAUGGCCCUGCUCUCCAGGGCUCGCCGGAUUCUUGGUUCCCAUUGUGGAAGAGAUGGGCAGCCAACACGUCAGUUCCUGGACUUCUUCCCCGUGCCUGGUGCCGGGAGCGCAGGUGCUCCAGGAGUGUUUGUUCACCGAGUUGUUACUGAAUGCUGCAGAGCCCUGCUCCACACUGCUUCCUAGCUCUGGCAUUUGGGAGCCUGAUGACAGCCCUGCCCCUGAAGACAGCAGCCGGGACAAUGUCAGCCUGAGGAGUUAGCUGGGUGGCCCUGGCUCUGAUGCUGCUGCUCUGUGCACUCGGCCCUUCUCCUGCAUAGUCGGGCCCAGGGCAGGGCACGCUAGGAGGAGGACUGCAAUUACUGCAGUGGGGAGGACUCGGGGCAGGCCUGCGAAGGAGGCAGGGGAAGCAAGGCCAGCGGAGGUGGUGAUGAUGCAGGGCUGAGGGGGGCCUUCUUCCCUGUUGAAGAAGGUGACCUCACUUGUCAGGAGUGGAGGGCUGAGGAGCAGCUGGGGCCUGUUGUGCUGCUGGAGGGAACCAGGGCCUGCAAGGGUGCAGAAGGAAGUCUAUAGGCCCUGAGGCCCAGCGCAUGACCAGGACCUGAGGAUGACCUCAGAUGAUCCAACCACCUUGGCCUCCCAAAGU